UGGGGAAUAUUGCACAAUGGGGGGAACCCUGAUGCAGCGAUGCCGCGUGGAGGAAGAAGGUUUUCGGAUUGUAAACUCCUGUCUUAAAGGACGAUAAUGACGGUACUUUAGGAGGAAGCUCCGGCUAACUACGUGCCAGCAGCCGCGGUAAUACGUAGGGAGCGAGCGUUGUCCGGAAUUACUGGGUGUAAAGGGAGCGUAGGCGGGAUCGCAAGUCAGAUGUGAAAUACAUAGGCUUAACCUAUGGGCUGCAUUUGAAACUGUGGUUCUUGAGUGAAGUAGAGGUAAGCGGAAUUCCUGGUGUAGCGGUGAAAUGCGUAGAUAUCAGGAGGAACACCGGUGGCGAAGGCGGCUUACUGGGCUUUAACUGACGCUGAGGCUCGAAAGCGUGGGUAGCAAACAGG
This 404-nucleotide ribosomal RNA is filed under the name uncultured bacterium. Its description in RNAcentral is "bacterial SSU rRNA". It matches the Rfam family "Bacterial small subunit ribosomal RNA", at positions 355 to 776 of the family's 1533-position model. The record is from RNAcentral. RNAcentral also lists the same sequence under 1 other name.